UACAGAGGGUGCAAGCGUUAAUCGGAAUUACUGGGCGUAAAGCGCACGUAGGUGGUCACUUAAGUCAGGUGUGAAAUCCUCGGGCUCAACCUGAGAAUUGCAUUUGAUACUGGGUGUACUAGAGUAUGUUAGAGGGAAGUGGAAUUUCCGGUGUAGCGGUGAAAUGCGUAGAUAUCGGAAGGAACAUCAGUGGCGAAGGCGACUUCCUGGAAUAAUACUGACACUGAGGAGCGAAAAGCGUGGGGGAGCGAACAGG
RNAcentral lists this ribosomal RNA (256 nucleotides) under uncultured bacterium. RNAcentral's name for it is "partial 16S ribosomal RNA". It matches the Rfam family "Bacterial small subunit ribosomal RNA", at positions 524 to 776 of the family's 1533-position model. The record is from RNAcentral.